GACUCACACGCAAAUGUCUUUGACGUCUCAUCAUGAAAGAUAAUCGCCACUGCAUGUUUCUUUGUCUCUCGAGGCAAUCUAGUUAUGUUUUUGAUAUUGUGCAGCUCGGUUACCUUGUGGAAGUUUCUGAAAUAUGCUGCCUUCUCAUCUGGAAACUUUUCUAGCCUCCUGGGUCCUUUACUGGAAGCCUUCUUGAAAACCAACCAACAUCGCCUGAAAAUCCCCAGCUUCCUGCUGCGAAUUUUCACGUAGCCCUGUUUGACUAUAUCGUUAAAGUUGGAGGCCAUGGCCAGCGCUGUCUGCUUCCUCCCCUCCGCGCCCGGAGUCCUCCUCCACCUCCUCCUCUGCUGCCUCUUCCUCCUUCCCCGGGCCCUCCUGGGUGCCGCCGGCCGCCGGCUCCCGAGACGCCUCUGGCAUCCAGGCAGCGGCGGGGCCGCGCUCCGCUCUGCUCCGCCCCGCGCUCCUCCCGCGGGUUCCGCUCCGCGCCGACCCCAGUGGCAGAAGGUCCUCGACUCUUCCACCGGCCCCU
RNAcentral lists this long non-coding RNA (529 nucleotides) under Gallus gallus (chicken). Lineage: Eukaryota; Metazoa; Chordata; Aves; Galliformes; Phasianidae. The record is from RNAcentral.